RNAcentral lists this ribosomal RNA (459 nucleotides) under uncultured bacterium. Its description in RNAcentral is "partial 16S ribosomal RNA". It matches the Rfam family "Bacterial small subunit ribosomal RNA", at positions 338 to 795 of the family's 1533-position model. The record is from RNAcentral.
CCUACGGGUGGCAGCAGUGAGGAAUAUUGGUCAAUGGCCGAGAGGCUGAACCAGCCAAGUAGCGUGCGGGAUGAAUGUCCUAUGGAUUGUAAACCUCUUUUGUCAGGGGGCAACAUCCCCCACGUGUGGGUGUUGGCGAGUACCUGACGAAAAAGCGUCGGCUAACUCCGUGCCAGCAGCCGCGGUAAUACGGAGGAUGCGAGCGUUAUCCGGAUUUAUUGGGUUUAAAGGGGGCGUAGGCGGGUGAUCAAGUCAGCGGUAAAAUCGUGGAGCUCAACCCCAUCCAGCCGUUGAAACUGAUGAUCUUGAGUGGGCGAGAAGUAGGCGGAAUGCGUGGUGUAGCGGUGAAAUGCAUAGAUAUCACGCAGAACUCCGAUUGCGAAGGCAGCAUACCGGCGCCCGACUGACGCUGAAGCACGAAAGCGUGGGUAUCGAACAGGAUUAGAUACCCGUGUAGUC